Molecule: unclassified non-coding RNA, 487 nt
Filed under: Cardiocephala trigonospora
Lineage: Eukaryota; Fungi; Ascomycota; Sordariomycetes
Description: Phialocephala trigonospora partial contains 18S rRNA, ITS1, 5.8S rRNA, ITS2 and 28S rRNA
Rfam family: 5.8S ribosomal RNA (bases 232-385)
Source: RNAcentral
GGAAGUAAAAGUCGUAACAAGGUCUCCGUUGGUGAACCAGCGGAGGGAUCAAUUAAAGAGUAUUACAACUCUAAACCCUUUGAGAACCUUACCGCUGUUGCUUCGGCGGGCGGCCGAUCCCCUCGGGGUGACGCCACCCUGCCUGGAGGUUUUUCCAGGUGUCCGCCGGAGUGACGCAAAAAACAAACCUCUUUAUAACAGUAUUCUGAGUACAAAAGACAAAAUAGUCAAAACUUUCAACAACGGAUCUCUUGGUUCUGGCAUCGAUGAAGAACGCAGCAAAUUGCGAUAAGUAAUGUGAAUUGCAGAAUUCCGUGAAUCAUCGAAUCUUUGAACGCACAUUGCGCCUGCCAGCAUUCUGGCAGGCAUGCCUGUUCGAGCGUCAUUUCAACCCUCAAGCCUUGCUUGGUGUUGGGGUUCUCCGCACUGCGGGAGGCCCCGAAAGCUAUCGGCGAGACGGCCCACGGGCACCGAGCGUAGUAAAUUU